GCAUUCCUGAGGAGGCUGUUUGGAGGCAUGAGACACAUUUUGGCCAACCAGUUUGAGUUAUCACUGGGCUAGAAAGAGUCAUCGAACCUAAACCGACAACCAGUGUUGAGGAGACUACUGGCUGUCUUGUGUAAACAAGAUUAGAGGAGAUCUAAGAGUCUUCACUGGAUAUGGGAGGGAACAAACUGGUCAAUCCA
Nothoprocta perdicaria is the source of this 197-nucleotide long non-coding RNA. RefSeq lists it as uncharacterized. The record is from RefSeq and is a predicted model, not a curated record. NCBI's taxonomy places the organism in Eukaryota, Metazoa, Chordata, Aves, Tinamiformes, Tinamidae. The transcript is spliced from 2 exons.